This 455-nucleotide long non-coding RNA is filed under the name Gopherus evgoodei (Goodes thornscrub tortoise). RNAcentral describes it as "lncRNA (ENSGEVG00005016273.1)". The record is from RNAcentral. Lineage: Eukaryota; Metazoa; Chordata; Testudines; Testudinidae.
CAGCUCUCUGCUUUCUGUGCAGCCCCUUGUGGGAGCUGAGUUCCAGUGACGCCCCAAGCCCUCGUUCUAUCUCUUACAGACAGGAGAACAAGCCAGGAUUGAUACGGCGCCUUUCCGGCAGCUUGGCAGGGGAGAGGCCCUGACUGAGAUCAGCACUCCAGCGUGCUAGGUGCAGUAUGUACACACAGUGAAAGACCCUGCUCUGAAGAGUUUCCAAAGAAAGACCUGGAGAAGGAAUGGAGAAGGGACUGUCCCAGGGAGCUUGGCAUGGCACCCACAGGGCCUGCAUUCCAGGCUACUGCUGAAUGGCAGUUCAUUUUCUCUUGGUCUGAAAAGCUUUAGUGACUCAGCUUGGUCUGAAGUUUUGGUGAUGUAAUCGAAGCUUGGGAACUGGAGCCUGUGUCUUAUCCGUCCUGUGAGUGAGUAACCCUUGGGCGUAAUCCACACGUUCGCUG